Aquila chrysaetos chrysaetos is the source of this 594-nucleotide long non-coding RNA. RefSeq lists it as uncharacterized. The transcript has 3 exons. The record is from RefSeq and is a predicted model, not a curated record. NCBI's taxonomy places the organism in Eukaryota, Metazoa, Chordata, Aves, Accipitriformes, Accipitridae.
AGGAGCCUGUCCUAAGAAGGGAUUCCUGGUGGGACAUUUCCUGUUCACAUUGCCGUCUUUCUCAUGAGAAUCCACUCUCAGACUCCGUGCCUCCUUGUGGUCUCUGACAGAUGGUGGCAUCCAACUGGACCCUGACCGAGCAAAAAUUACUCUCCUGCCACUACUGUUCAGGAAUAGUUGCAGAACAGCUGGUCUGCGAUAACACCCCCUGGAGAUAAACCCAUCAGUGGACAGAUGGAUAUUUUCUUUCAAUUUUUAUGUCAUUGGCUAAAACAGAGGGAAUAUCAUACAGUUCCUUAUCAUAUCUGUGAGUCACCCAUCAAGAUCUCAAAAUGCGAGAGAAGAUGCCUGCGGGUUGUGAGAGGUGAGAGCAAGCAUUACUAAAGAGAAGUCCUAGAGAGUCUGUGCUUCUCAGUCACAGUGACAAAAUUCACAGGGCUGUCUGGUUUCGUGCGAGGCCGCGGGCCCCUGCUGCAGAGAAGUGAGGGGGGCAGAAGACGUGCUUUCGCAGCGGGUACCGGAGGCCCUGGUGGGCUCAGUGUGAGUCUCCCGCUGGCUUCUGGAAGGGGCGUCAGCUACAGGAAUAGCAAAAUU